Molecule: ribosomal RNA, 492 nt
Filed under: uncultured bacterium
Lineage: Bacteria
Description: partial 16S ribosomal RNA
Rfam family: Bacterial small subunit ribosomal RNA
Source: RNAcentral
AGUGAACGCUGGCGGUAGGCCUAACACAUGCAAGUCGAACGGCAGCACAGUAAGAGCUUGCUCUUACGGGUGGCGAGUGGCGGACGGGUGAGGAAUACAUCGGAAUCUACUUUUUCGUGGGGGAUAACGUAGGGAAACUUACGCUAAUACCGCAUACGACCUACGGGUGAAAGCAGGGGAUCUUCGGACCUUGCGCGAUUGAAUGAGCCGAUGUCGGAUUAGCUAGUUGGCGGGGUAAAGGCCCACCAAGGCGACGAUCCGUAGCUGGUCUGAGAGGAUGAUCAGCCACACGGGAACUGAGACACGGUCCAGACUCCUACGGGAGGCAGCAGUGGGGAAUAUUGGACAAUGGGCGCAAGCCUGAUCCAGCCAUACCGCGUGGGUGAAGAAGGCCUUCGGGUUGUAAAGCCCUUUUGUUGGGAAAGAAAAGCAGCAGGUUAAUACCCCGCUGUUCUGACGGUACCCAAAGAAUAGGCACCGGCUAACUUCGUG